This 441-nucleotide ribosomal RNA is filed under the name uncultured bacterium. RNAcentral describes it as "partial 16S ribosomal RNA". It matches the Rfam family "Bacterial small subunit ribosomal RNA", at positions 338 to 795 of the family's 1533-position model. The record is from RNAcentral.
CCUACGGGAGGCUGCAGUGGGGGAUAUUGCACAAUGGGGGAAACCCUGAUGCAGCGACGCCGCGUGGGUGAAGGAGUAUUUCGGUAUGUAAAGCCCUAUCGGCAGGGAAGAAAUUGGACGGUACCUGACUAAGAAGCCCCGGCUAACUACGUGCCAGCAGCCGCGGUAAUACGGAGGGGGCAAGCGUUAUCCGGUUCCACCGGGUGGAAAGGGAGGGGAGACGGCAAGGCAAGCCUGGAGUAAAGGCCCGGGGCCAAACCCCGGGACUGCUCGGGGAACUGUCCGGCUGGCGUGCGGGAGGGGCAGGCGGAAUUCCUGGUGUAGCGGUGAAAUGCGUAGAUAGCAGGAGGAACACCGGCGGCGAAGGCGGCCUGCUGGACCGCGACUGACGUUGAGGCUCGAAAGCGUGGGGAGCGAACAGGAUUAGAUACCCCAGUAGUC